Molecule: RNA transcript, 1373 nt
Organism: Vespula vulgaris
Lineage: Eukaryota; Metazoa; Arthropoda; Insecta; Hymenoptera; Vespidae
Gene name: electron transfer flavoprotein beta subunit lysine methyltransferase-like
Exons: 5
Source: RefSeq, a predicted model, not a curated record
UUUUUCGACGUAUUGUCAAUGUUCAAUUCUCAAUAUCGUAUCCGGAGAGAAACUGAAUCGUUCCUCUUCGUCAUUCCGGUGGAUCCACGAAGUAAGGUUCGUCGAUGAGAACGCAGGAGAGAUCCGAAUGUCCCGGACCCAGGUCCGAAAGAUGGGAAGAGGCGUAAUGACUUCGUGUACUUUGAUUAAACGGUCGAUGUCGAGAAAUUUACCAACGAGUCUUCUAAUCGAAACCGUUAGGAAUAGGAACUGGGAAAUUGUCGAUCGAGAUAUCGCUGAACGAGCUAAAAUCGUAGACACUGUUAUAAAGUAUACGGAGAUCACUAAUGAUCACAUGACACCUGACUUAAAACUUUUUCUUUUAACGCCGAGAUGUUCUCUCUAUCACGAUCCAUUCGAUAGAGUAAAAAAGGAGUUCGACCGAGUGGAAAAACGAACUUUGACGAAUCCAUUUUGGUCUAUAUACUGGCCGGGUGGACAGGGCCUGGUUAAGUUCAUACUCCAAGAACAAAGAAAUAUAUUCGUACGUUCCAAGGACAUUAACGUUUUGGAUCUUGGAAGUGGUUGCGGUGCUACGGCUAUAGCAACGAAACUCCUUGGUAUUCAUAAUGUUGUGGCAAAUGACAUUGAUAAAGUUGCCUGUAUAGCCACGCUCAUGAAUGCUACAUUAAACGGCGUGGACGUUCGAGUAUCGUGGAAAAAUUUAUUGAACGAACCACUUAAAGAGACGUACGACGUUAUUUUUAUCGGGGAUCUACUUUACGAAGAAGAAUUAGUCGAAACUUUAAUUCCGUGGCUGUUGGAUGAAGCCAAAAAAGGAACACGAAUAUUUCUUGGCGAUCCUGGAAGGCACGGCCUUACAAAUAAUUUAAAAAAAUAUCUUAAACUUUUAUGCCGAUACGAAUUGCCGGAAAAGACGCGGAAGGAAAAUAAUGGUUAUCACGAAGUUUGCAUAUGGCAAUUCAUUAAGUAACUCCACACGGUCGUUGCUCCUCUUCGUGAUAAGGACAUUGUAAUAUGCAAUGUUCACCCCCGCAUUCUACAAAUAAAUCGUAUCAUUGAAGUUAGAUGUAUCUAUCCAUGGGGAACAUGUUUAAAGAAAAAUAUGAGUUUACCUGUAUUCAUAGUUUCCAGAAGUUGAAUUUCACAAUUUCGUCCAACGUAGCCAGAAAGACAAUCGCAGCGUACUGCUUUCGCUCCGAGAUGUCUAUAACUUGCCACCAUUUUGACAAAUAGAGUUUUGUUGCUCGUCAAAACAGAGCGGUCCUUCGUCACAUUUUUCUCCAUUAAAGCCAGAAAAGCAUUCGCAUGUAAAAGUUCUGUGAUGAAAGAAACAACGAUAAUGAAAUACACAUUUAAAAUAUUUCAGUUUA